RNAcentral lists this ribosomal RNA (873 nucleotides) under Triticum aestivum (bread wheat). Its description in RNAcentral is "partial small subunit ribosomal RNA". Lineage: Eukaryota; Viridiplantae; Streptophyta; Magnoliopsida; Poales; Poaceae. The record is from RNAcentral.
AUGGAAGAUAAAAUUUUAGCAUCCGCAAAAAGAAAAGCAAAUGCGAUCAUUAAUAAAAAUUCUAUUGUUAAUAAUAAUAAUAAAGAUAAGAAUAUUAUUCAAAAAGAAGAAAUUGUUAGUGAAGAAGAGCAAUGGGAUAUCAAUAAUAAGUUAUUAUUAGAAAUUUAUGAGGAAGAGGAGGAAUUAAUAAAAGAAAUGUGGUUAGAAGAUGAAAGAUAUGAUGAUUCAGAACAAAAUAGUGAUUUCUAUAACUCACUAGAUGAUGUGGGACUACAUAAUUUAGACAAUGCAAUGGAAGCCAUGGAAGUAGAAAGUAGUGGUAAAAGAAGAAGGGGAUAUGGUGAAUCAUCUGUAAAAAGAGAAGGAGAAAGAGAGAGACCUACCAGGACAGCUGGACAAUGGCCUCCAGAAAAAGAUGAUUACCAGCCUACAUAUAUCCCAGGACAAUAUAGAUACAUGGGUACUAAAAGAAGAGAUUUUGAAAAACCAGUGCAAUUCCAAAAUUAUAAAAAUGAUGGUGCUAUAUUAAACCUAGCAGCUCAUGACCCAAUAGAUUGGCCGAAUAUAAUCAGCAUAUGGAAAGGUUUAUUAGUACAAAAAUAUAUACAAAAUCAGUAUAGCAUAGGCACUAAGGUAGAAGAUAUGUUAACAUAUCUUGAAACAUUUUUAGGAGAAUCUGUAAAAGUUCUUUGGGAACAAUGGGUAGAAUCAUACCCUAGUCAAUAUGAAGAAUUAAAAAGGGCAGGAAGUAACCCUAAUAACUUUGCGAAUGUUAUCUCAAAUAUGAUCAUAGCAGAAGAUCCUGAAUUAGGACAUACCUCAUUGCAAAAUGAAAGGUUAAGAGAAAUAGAAAAAUUAACAUUAACUAGCUAG